RNAcentral lists this ribosomal RNA (482 nucleotides) under uncultured bacterium. RNAcentral's name for it is "partial 16S ribosomal RNA". It matches the Rfam family "Bacterial small subunit ribosomal RNA", at positions 30 to 523 of the family's 1533-position model. The record is from RNAcentral.
AGUGAACGUUGGCGGCGUGGAUUAGGCAUGCAAGUCGAGCGAGAACCGUAGCAAUACGGGGACAGCGGCGAAAGGGACAGUAAUGUGUAGGUAACUACCCCGAGGUCUGGGAUAGCUGCGGGAAACUGCAGGUAAUACCGGAUAAUGUCUUCGGACCAAAGGUGUGAUUCCACCUUGGGAGGGGGCUGCAUCCUAUUAGCGAGUUGGCGGGGUAAAGGCCCACCAAGGCAACGAUGGGUAGCGGGUGUGAGAGAACGACCCGGGUCAUUGGGACUGAGACACUGCCCAGACACCUACGGGUGGCUGCAGUCGAGGAUCUUCGGCAAUGUGCGCAAGCCUGACCGAGCGACGCCGCGUGCGGGAUGAAGGCCUUCGGGUUGUAAACCGCUGUCGUAGAGGAGGAAAUGCAGGGGGGUUCUCCCUUCUGUUUGACCUAUUCUAGGAGGAAGGACGGGCUAAGUUCGUGCCAGCAGCCGCCGUAA